Molecule: ribosomal RNA, 468 nt
Filed under: uncultured bacterium
Lineage: Bacteria
Description: partial 16S ribosomal RNA
Rfam family: Bacterial small subunit ribosomal RNA
Source: RNAcentral
GACGAACGCUGGCGGCGUGCUUAACACAUGCAAGUCGAACGGAAAGGCCCUGCUUUUGUGGGGUGCUCGAGUGGCGAACGGGUGAGUAACACGUGAGUAACCUGUCCUUGACUUUGGGAUAACUUAAGGAAACUGGGGCUAAUACCGGAUAGGAGCUAUUGCUGCAUGGUGGGGGUAGGAAAGUUUCGGCGGUUGGGGAUGGACUCGCGGCUUAUCAGCUUGUUGGUGGGGUAGUGGCUUACCAAGGCUUUGACGGGUAGCCGGCCUGAGAGGGUGACCGGCCACAUUGGGACUGAGAUACGGCCCAGCCUCCUACGGGAGGCAGCAGUGGGGAAUAUUGCACAAUGGGCUGAAGCCUGAUGCAGCAACGCCGCGUGCGGGAUGACGUCCUUCGGGUUGUGAACCGCUUUCGCCUGUGACGAAGCGUGAGUGACGGUAAUGGGUAAAGAAGCACCGGCCAACUACGUG